This 393-nucleotide ribosomal RNA is filed under the name Vipiellus sp. Its description in RNAcentral is "eukaryotic LSU rRNA". Lineage: Eukaryota; Metazoa; Arthropoda; Insecta; Hymenoptera; Braconidae. The record is from RNAcentral.
CCUGAGAAACCCAAAAGAUCGAAUGGGGAGAUUCAUCGUCAGCUCAUUUUAUAUAUAUGCUAGUUAUGAUAUGGGUUACUACUUUUUUGUAGUAUUGCCUGUACAUUCUUGUAUAUUUAAUUGUAAGAUGUUGUCGGCGUGCACUUCUCCCCUAGUAGGACGUCGCGACCCGUUGAGUGUUGGUCUACGGCCCAAGUGGGAGCUUUUGAUGAAUUUUAUAUUUGUUAAAAAACCCUUGGUGUUUCCUGACUGGCACUCGUCGGUAUUCGUAUGGUAUUGAGCCGCAUAUUAUAUAUGCGUCCAUAUCUGUCGCAAGCGAAGUUAGUUACUGAUAGUGCGGACCUGGUGCCGUCGUUGGUACUAAUCAGCUGUUGGUUGUACAGAAUUCUAGGA